UACGUAGGGGGCAAGCGUUGUUCGGAAUUACUGGGCGUAAAGGGCGUGUAGGCGGUUUAGCAAGUCAGAUGUGAAAUCCCAGGGCUUAACUCUGGAAGUGCAUUUGAAACUGCUAGGCUAGAGUGCAGUAGAGGUUGGCGGAAUACCCAGUGGAGAGGUGAAAUUCGUAGAUAUUGGGUGGAACACCGGUGGCGAAGGCGGCCAACUGGGCUGUUACUGACGCUGAGGCGCGAGAGCGUGGGGAGCAAACAGG
RNAcentral lists this ribosomal RNA (253 nucleotides) under uncultured bacterium. RNAcentral's name for it is "partial 16S ribosomal RNA". It matches the Rfam family "Bacterial small subunit ribosomal RNA", at positions 524 to 776 of the family's 1533-position model. The record is from RNAcentral.